This 465-nucleotide ribosomal RNA is filed under the name Vreelandella stevensii. RNAcentral's name for it is "partial 16S ribosomal RNA". It matches the Rfam family "Bacterial small subunit ribosomal RNA", at positions 338 to 795 of the family's 1533-position model. The record is from RNAcentral. Lineage: Bacteria; Pseudomonadati; Pseudomonadota; Gammaproteobacteria; Oceanospirillales; Halomonadaceae.
CCUACGGGAGGCUGCAGUGGGGAAUAUUGGACAAUGGGCGAAAGCCAGAUCCAGCCAUGCCGCGUGUGUGAAGAAGGCCUUCGGGUUGUAAAGCACUUUCAGUGGGGAAGAAAGCCUUGGGGCUAAUACCCUCGAGGAAGGACAUCACCCACAGAAGAAGCACCGGCUAACUCCGUGCCAGCAGCCGCGGUAAUACGGAGGGUGCGAGCGUUAAUCGGAAUUACUGGGCGUAAAGCGCGCGUAGGCGGUCUGAUAAGCCGGUUGUGAAAGCCCCGGGCUCAACCUGGGAACGGCAUCCGGAACUGUCAGGCUAGAGUGCAGGAGAGGAAGGUAGAAUUCCCGGUGUAGCGGUGAAAUGCGUAGAGAUCGGGAGGAAUACCAGUGGCGAAGGCGGCCUUCUGGACUGACACUGACGCUGAGGUGCGAAAGCGUGGGUAGCAAACAGGAUUAGAUACCCGGGUAGUC